Molecule: ribosomal RNA, 519 nt
Filed under: uncultured eukaryote
Lineage: Eukaryota
Description: SSU rRNA
Rfam family: Eukaryotic small subunit ribosomal RNA
Source: RNAcentral
AGGGCACCACCAGGAGUGGAGCCUGCGGCUUAAUUUGACUCAACACGGGAAAACUCACCCGGCCCGGACACUGGAAGGAUUGACAGAUUGAGAGCUCUUUCUUAAUUCAGUGGGUGGUGGUGCAUGGCCGUUCUUAGUUGGUGGAGUGAUUUGUCUGGUUAAUUCCGGUAACGAACGAGACUCUAGCCUACUAAAUAGAUCGUCGGCUUACAAACGCCGACGAGACUUCUUAGAGGGACAGGCGGUGAUUCAACCGCACGAAACAGAGCAAUAACAGGUCUGUGAUGCCCUUAGAUGUCCGGGGCCGCACGCGCGCUACACUGAAGUGAUCAGCGUGCAUUUGUUCUCGCUCCGUGAGGAGCGAGUAACCCAAGGAACCUUCUUCGUGAUAGGGAUUGGGCAUUGUAAUUAUUGCCCAUGAACGAGGAAUUCCCAGUAAGCGCGAGUCAUUAGCUUGCGUUGAUUACGUCCCUGCCCCUUGUACACACCGCCCGUCGCUACUACCGAUUGAAUGAAUUA